GGCCUACCAUGGUGGUAACGGGUAACGGGGUGUUAGGGCACGACACCGGAGAGGGAGCCUGAGAAACGGCUACCACAUCCAAGGAUGGCAGCAGGCGCGCAAAUUACCCAAUCCCGACACGGGGAGGUAGUGACAAUAAAUAACAAUACGGGGUUCUUUAGGAUCUCGUAAUUGGAAUGAGUACAAUUUAAAUCUCUUAACGAGGAACAAUUGGAGGGCAAGUCUGGUGCCAGCAGCCGCGGUAAUUCCAGCUCCAAUAGCGUAUAUUAAAGUUGUUGCAGUUAAAAAGCUCGUAGUUGAACUUCGGGGUCUACCCAUUGGUCAGGCUUAAUUGUCUGCACUGGUGAGAUGGAUCUCUACCUUCUGAGGAACUUUCAUGCCAUUUAUUUGGGGUGGUUGGAAAUCAGGACUGUUACUUUGAAAAAAUUAGAGUGUUUAAAGCAGACUAUCGUCUGAAUACAUUAGCAUGGAAUAAUGAAAUAGGACGGACUGAUUCUAUUUCGUUGGUUUCUAGGAUCACCGUAAUGAUUAAUAGGGAUAGUUGGGGGCAUUAGUAUUCAAUUGUCAGAGGUGAAAUUCUUGGAUUUAUUGAAGACUAACUACUGCGAAGCGCAGUUUGCCAAGGAUGUUUUCAUUAAUCAAGAACGAAAGUUAGGGGAUCGAAGACGAUCAGAUACCGUCGUAGUCUUAACCAUAAACUAUGCCGACUAGGGAUCGGACGAGGUUAAUUUUAUAAUGACGCGUUCGGCACCUUACG
RNAcentral lists this ribosomal RNA (757 nucleotides) under uncultured Glomeromycotina. Its description in RNAcentral is "SSU rRNA". It matches the Rfam family "Eukaryotic small subunit ribosomal RNA", at positions 338 to 1092 of the family's 1831-position model. The record is from RNAcentral. Lineage: Eukaryota; Fungi; Glomeromycota.